This 1316-nucleotide long non-coding RNA is filed under the name Homo sapiens (human). RNAcentral describes it as "small nucleolar RNA host gene 17". Lineage: Eukaryota; Metazoa; Chordata; Mammalia; Primates; Hominidae. The record is from RNAcentral.
UCCCGAGUAGCUGGGGUUACAGGUGCAUGCCACCACGCCUGGAUAAUUUUUUGUAUUUCUAGUAGAGAUGGGGUUUCACCAUGUUGGUCAGUCUGGUCUUGAACUCCUGACCUCAAGUGAUCCACCCACCUCGGCCCCCCAAAGUACUGGGAUUACAGGUGUGAGCCACCGCGCCUGGCCAAGGGUCUUCUUUUUAAGGGUGAAUAAUGUUUUGUUGUGUGUGCGUGUGUGUGUGUGCGUAUGCCACAUUUUCUUUUUCCAUUCAUCUGUUGAUGGAGACUUAGAUUGUUUCCGUAUCUUGGCGAUUGGGAGUAAUGCCGCAGUGAAUAUUGGAGUGCAGAUGUCUUUAUGAGGUGUGAUUUGAUCUCCAUUGAGUAUGUGUCCAGAAGAGGGAUAGCUGGGUCUAUGUAAUGUAUACUGAUAAGCAGCACAGAGUGGGCACAUAGGAUAGCAUAGAUGCCAUUUUUCUCACAGAUAGUUUGCCGACCUCUUCCUAGAGUUACGUUUUUCUUGUUCCUGAGACAAUAAUGUGGCUGUAAGUACUAAUAGAGACAGUGGCAUUUGUGGGUUGCUUAUGAUCUGCCAGCCCCUGCGUUAAGUGUUCUCUGUGUCUGUUUCAGAUGGGUCUGCUGUGUGCAGAGGCUCCAUGGGAUGUGUUGUCUUCAUAGUAGCAGGGCGCUGGACCAUGGGUCCGCAAGGUGGGAUUUUUGGACUGUUGUCUGGAAUAUGUUUCUUUGCAUCCUGCAGAGUCAUGUGCUGUUCCUGGGGCUUGGAUGAUGUAGGGGAAGCAAGGUGAAAGUGGUAUCCCGUGGUUCCACGUUCUGUCCUGCUGUGGGGCUGUCCCUCACAUGCUUUCAGUGGCUGUUGCAGAGGAAGAGCCUCCGGAAAUCUGCGUGGGUCUCAGCCUUAGAUCCAAGGACAGUCCAAGGAAGUCCUAAGACCAUGGAGUUGGUGAUCUGGGAUCUGGGUUUGCUGAUAUUUCUCACCGUGAAUCUCUUGGUGGUGUUUGUGGGCACGAGAGGGGCAGAGAAUGGAGAGUGAGGCUACCACAUGAAGCGUCACCAGAGCUGCUCCCUGCUGCCUGCUCAGAGCACCCCGGAUCCACUGUUCAAUCUGCACAAGAUUCGGGGUCCAGACAUGGGAGACUUCAGCUGCCUCAGAGGACCGUGGACAGGGAAGGCCAGCCUCGCAUCCCUCUGUCCAUGCCUGGAAUGACUUUAAUAACCAAGAGUUUUAUUUUUGAAUUUGUAGCUGUCGUUCACUUUUUACCCACCCAUUCAAUAAACCUUACAGAAUUGCUCCAUGUGCUUCUUAAA